Molecule: ribosomal RNA, 536 nt
Filed under: uncultured bacterium
Lineage: Bacteria
Description: bacterial SSU rRNA
Rfam family: Bacterial small subunit ribosomal RNA
Source: RNAcentral
UCUCGGGGAUUUUGGAAAUGGGGGCAACCCUGACCCAGCCAUGCCGCGUGCGGGAAGAAGGCCUUCGGGUUGUAAACCGCUUUCGGCCGGAACGAAAUCGCCCGGGUGAACAUCCCGGGUGGAUGACGGUACCGGAAGAAGAAGCACCGGCUAACUACAUGCCAGCAGCCGCGGUAAUACGGAGGGUGCGAGCGUUAAUCGGAAUUACUGGGCGUAAAGCGCGCGUAUGCGGUUUGAUAAGUCGGAUGUGAAAGCCCCGAGCUCAACUUGGGAACAGCAUUCGAUACUGCCUAACUAGAGUAUGGUAGAGGAAAGCGGAAUUCCCGGUGUAGCGGUGAAAUCCGUAGAUAUCGGGAGGAACAUCAGUGGCGAAGGCGGCUUUCUGGACCAAUACUGACGCUGAGGCGCGAAAGCGUGGGUAGCAAACAGGAUUAGAUACCCUGGCAGUCCACGCCCUAAACCAUGUCAACUAGCCGUUGGGUUCAUUUAAGAACUUAGUGGCGCAGCUAACGCGAUAAGUUGACCGCCUGGGGAGU